UUUCCGUAGGUGAACCUGCGGAAGGGUCAUUACCGAGUGAGGGUCUCUCAGGCCCGACCUCCCACCCUGUGUUUUUUUGCCCUUGUUGCUUUGGCGGGCCCGCCUCGAUGAGUGGCCGCCGGAAGCUCACCGCUUUGGGCCCGUGCCCGUCAGUAGCCCCCUUAAAUUCUUAAUAAACCUGUCGUCUGAUUUAAUGGAUAUAAUGAAAAAAAACUUUCAACAACGGAUCUCUUGGUUCUG
Molecule: unclassified non-coding RNA, 240 nt
Filed under: plant metagenome
Description: partial contains small subunit ribosomal RNA, internal transcribed spacer 1, and 5.8S ribosomal RNA
Source: RNAcentral